CCCACCUGUUAAGAGAAUAUUGAAUUGCAGUUAGAUGUAGCACCAUAACCUUGUUUUGUGACUAAGCUAUCACAGAAUGGGGAAAGGAGGGGGAGAGCAGAGGGAGCGAGAGUAUCAUCUUACUUGAAAGACUGGUCGUUAUCCAGAGAUACAUACAUUUUAAGUUAAGAAACAAACACAAACUAAGAGGGGGGAAUAAAAGCCCUGAAGGCUGAGGUACAAUUUCUUACCCAAAUCUCUCUCAAAGAUAAGUGUACUUUAUAAAUAUGAAGCACGAAUCAUGGUGGAUCUUCAAACAAAGAUCAAUUUUCAAUUAGAUGUCCCAGUAUGUACUGAAAUCACUGAAGAAUAACCUAUUUAAAUAUUCUUAAAAGUAGACAAUGGGGACAGGAUUCCCAGUGUGAAGGAAUAAGUCCCUUCAGUGUCUUAAUUUACACCUUGUUUUCCUAUUGUCCAGCUGGAUUUAAGGUCAAAUGUACCUACCUUCUGUCCCUUUUUAAAAAACUGGAAGGUUGGCAUGCAUUUGACUUCACACUCUGAAGCAACAUCCUGUGUGGGGCAGGGGGAGGAUGAAAACAAGACUGAGUAUUAAGCUCUGGCAUAAGUAAUCCCAGAUGUUCCUCCCCUGCCCCCCCCCCCCCCCCCCGUUAUACACCUCAUUUAAGCAUAUGAAGAACGACAGAAUGAAUGUAAUGGCAGCACAAAACCCAAACUGGUUAUAGUCUCAAUGAAAAUUAACAUGUACUCCCCUCUUUGAGGGCCACCAAUAAGAAUGCUACUGGCCUCAGAUAUAUACAGUGACCCAGUGAGCUGUUUAAUCCAAAUCUCAGCUAGUUCAAGUAUAAAGAAGCAGUAACAAAUUCUGCUGUACGUAUGUAUACUCAGGAUUUUAAUCUUAGCUAUUCCUCAGAAUUAGCACUUGUCUUCUUUGCUCCUAGUUUUCCGAACCUUUAUUAUGGGAAUAGAGUCCAUACAUGAAGGUCAUAAAGACUAAAACCCAGCGUGAGCAAGAGGAACAACAAUUCACUUGCCCAAGAAUUGUUCAAGAACAAAGUCCUAUAACCCAAAGGCAAAGUUCCACACUGGUUUUUUUCUGCUUUUAAUUAAACAUUGACUUGUAGAUUCUCAAACUUGGCUGCAUAUCAAGAAACAGAGGUCCCUGGAGUAUCAAGCGUUCCUUAAUUCUGUUACAGGAACACUAAAUGAGAACCUCUAACACCCCCCUACCCCCACCAUACCUUUUUCACACAGGGUUUGGAGGGAAAUGCCUCAGGAAAUGGUUGGGUUUGGACAAGCGUUCAGGUGAAAAGAUCCAUUAGGGAUUGAAAAUAUCAGCAUGGUCCUCAAGAGGCUUGGGAAAGAAAUGUAGAACCACACAGCAGCUAAGGAGCAAAAAGCAGUGAAGGACAGCAACCAAGGAGGCUGAACUCUGAGAACCAGAUUUCAGAAACCAAACAGUUUACAGAGGAAAGAAAGGCAACAUGGUGACUUCUAAUAUAUACAAUUUGGGAGGGCACAGGACUAUAAAAAUGGAGUGAUCUCUCUGAGCCACUGGUAAUGGCAGUAUGCCAGCUUAUUAAUUUGACCUCUUCCUCUGAGACUGGAAAGAAAAGUGUGGUUUUACAGCUUUAUAAAUUUGCAUUGUUGGUAGCCUGGGCAGGAAGGGUAGUGGAUAAUACUGUUGGGAGUUCCUUUUGGGUAUCCUUGACUCUUCCUCUAAAUGCUGGCUAACACAGAGGCACAAGGACAGUAAUGACUGGAGUAAAAAUGGCUAACAGGUUCUGAACGCCUAGGGAAACUACUAAGAGCAUGCGAUAAGACCACCACAUAAAAUUCCAAUGAUUCCCUUGUAGCAAGAGCGUCCAAGAUUGAAAACGUGGUGAAGAGUUGACAGGAAGACUAUGAACUGCCCAUGUCAAGGUUCUGGAGGAGUACUCAGAAAAUCAGAAGAUGGUAAGUUAGGCUGGGGGGCUGACUUAGGUAAAAGACUGAAAACUGGUCAUCUGAGGGGCUGAAUCUGAUCCAGAUACACUGCUUGGCUCAUGCAAGAGCUUAAGAACAAAUCUUUGCACUGGCUGCCCACUAGCAGAUCCUUCCCACACUGGAGUAUCUGGGAACACUGGGCUCAUCCCUCACAGCACUGGGGAGAGCAGCUGUUUGGUACAGCCCCUUCCCUCUCUUACACACACGGAAGCCAUCGGUUGGACACUACCUUUCAUCCAGGCAGUUGGCAAAAGGCUCAAAGUAAAAGGGUGUUUGUGUUAUAUUCAUGGUAGAAGGGCAGCAGCCUGGAAAGGAUAAGCCACCCUCUUCCCCACUUAUUUUUCCUUUCUUAAUGUUUUAUUUACCUUUUGAGAGAGCACAAGUGGUGCACAAGUGGAGGCAGAGACAGGGGGACCGAGGAUCCAAAGCAGGCUCUUCACUGUUAACAGUGAGCCUGAUGUGGGGCUCAAACUCAGGAACCACGAGAUCAUGGCCUGAGCCAGAGCUGGAUGCUCAACUUGGACGCUCAACCUACUGAGCCAUCCAGGUGCACUGCCCCCUCCCCCCCCCUUCUAAUUAGAAACUCACCAGGGGAGUGAGCUGCAUCACACACAAAGGCAGGUAAAACAGGGCUGGCCAGUCGUCAUAACUUUCUGCUGAGAAAGCUUUAUCAGCAGAAAAUACAGGGUCUCGUCUCAUUCAAUGGAUGUGACAGUCUAAUCGAUGCUCUCAGGAUUCUGGAUGUCUUCUGCCUCAACUAGCCAGAGACCAGCAUUCCUGCGUUGGUACAACUGCUGAAUUUACAAUAAAAUAAAUCCUGGGGCACCUGAGUGGCUCAGUAGGUCAAGCUUCCAUUCUCGAUUCUGGCUCAAGUCAUGAUCUCAUGGUUGAUGGGAUCAAGCCCCAAGUUGGGCUCUGUGCUGACAGUGCAGAGCCUGCUUGGGACUCUCUCAAUGAGAGACUUAUUAAAGAAGGGACUUAUAAAAAACUAAAUCCCCAAACUGGAAAAUAGACGAAUCUUCAGAAGUGGUGCCAAGGCUCUGUGAUAGCAUUUAAAAAAUACUGGGGCAUCUGCAUGGCUCAGUCCAUUAAAUGUCUGACGCUUGAUUUGGGCUCAGGUCACCAUCUCAUGGUUUAUGAGCUCAAGCCUGCUUGGAAUUCUCUUUCCUCUCAAAAUAAGAUGAACAAGAUGUAUUUUUUAAAUUUUAAAAAUUGCACUCAAAUCUUUAACUAAAACUUUACCACGUAAAGCAUUUAGAAUUUGCUUUCAUUAGGUGUGAAGGUGGUUUUGUUUUGCUUUGUUUAUGGUAUGGAAUCCUAGGUCGCCUUGAUUCCCAAAAGUGAGGCUUUGUUAUUUCCAAUUUCUGCACAUCCUUGUGAAUAAAUCCUCAGACACAUCUUAGGGCAAAAACCUUAAAGUGAAACUGAUGGGCCUAGGAAGAUCAUUUUCAUUUUAUAGAAGUAUAACCUACAUUCAAGGCAAAAAACUGGAAGAAGGAAACCAGUCCUAAUCUGUACAAGCCACCAUAAACAUCUCACUAGUGUACCUAAAUGCUUUUCUUUAUAAAACCUAUGCUGCGUGCACAGUAACACACCUGUAUACUCAGUAUAAUAUAUACAUACAGUGGACUUUUCCCCGUGAAAAAGUACACAAUCAUUUUUUAUGGCCUAAUAGCAGUCGCUGUAUGGAGGUAUCAUCACUGGAACUAGUCCACUGGUCAAUAAGUAAAAGGCUUUGAUUUUUGCUUAAUGUAAACGCUUGCAUCUUCCUAUGCAAAUAUCUACAUCCUGGGUCAAUCACCACCCCUGGAAGUAGAACUGCUAAGACAAAGAACAUGCUUUUGAAGAGGCUUCAAGCCCAGCGCAGAGCCAAUGUGGGGCUUGGACUCGUAACUCUGAGAUCAAGACCUGAGCUGAGAUUAAGAGGUGGACACUUAACCAACUGAGCCACCCAGGCACCCCAAACAUGCUCCUUUUCAAAGCUCUAGACACACAUUCAUAUUGGGAGGUACUUCAGUACAUACCAAUUUCAGUAUUUAUCAUGAUUUUUGCCACCUAGUCUGACUUCACUUGAUCAAAUCCAUCAGCCCUUCUCUACCCCAUUCAUUAAAAGUGCGAGCUUGAGCAUUAAACAGACUUCAGGUCUGUGACUGAAUUUUUCCAGGCCCAUUUCCUCAGUGGCAAGAGUAAAAACAGUUCUGUUCUUGAGAUUAUGAAAGCCAGGGCCAUCAAUGUGCUUAACAGCUCCAUCAUUUCUGGAAAUAUGUUCAGUAUUUACUAGGAUUUUUGUUUGAAUGUCUUCUAGGUUAGGGGCGCCUGGGUGGCUCAGCCAGUUGAGCAUCCGGCUUCAGCUCAGGUCAUGAUCUCACGGUUCAUGGGUUCGACAACUGUGCCAACAACUCAGAGCCCGGAACCUGCCUCGGAUUCUGUGUCUCCUUCUCUCUCUGCCCCUCCCCCACUUGCACUCUCUCAAAAAUAAACAUGAGAAAACAAAUUUUAAUGGAGGUAGAAAUGCAACAUCUUAACUCCAAACUGUUAAUGAUUAAUACAUGUUUAAAUAGACUUGAUCCUAUUUUUUUUUUUGAACUGUCUAUUCUGUUCCAUGCGUAUACCUACCUACAUUACAAGACUACAUUGUUUUAAUAAGGGCAGCUAAUACACUGUAUUUUUACGGGGCUUUUCCUUUCUCAUUUUCCACAACUUCUCUCCCAAUUAGUGUUUGUUUUUUAAAAAUACUUUCCUGACUGUAUUUUUUCAGAAUGGCACACUGAGAUCUAAUCAGACCAACUUGGGAGUACUCCAUUUAAUAACACUGAGUCACUAUCCAGGAACAUAGUAUGCCCAUCUAUUCAUAUCUUUUAUGGACUUCAGUCAAGUUUUAGUUCAUAACUAGCAUUUGAUCUCUACUCUCUAAAAUUAGUAUUUCUUUCUACUACUUGUUCUAUGGACUAAUUUGCCUAUUCCUAUAGUGACUUGAAAGGUAUUCAUACCUAAAAAUUUAGUUACAUUUGAAGCCUUAAACAUUCUCGAUCCUGUUUAUCACGUUCCUCACUUAACUAGUCCACCCCCUAAUGACACCCCCAACUCCUAUUUUUUUGUAAACAAUCUGGAAUUUAAAAAAAAUUACAUAAAGCAAAAUUCAGUUUUUACGGGGUGUUUAAGUUCUGGGAGUUCUGACAAAUGCAUAGUCAGGUAACAUCAAAAUCAAGAUACAGACCGGUUCCCUUGCUCACCUACAAUCUCCUCAGCAGCUCCUUGAUACUCAAGUCCUCCCCUACCCCAAUCUGUUCUCCAUCCCUCUGGUUUUGCGCAAUCUCAGAUUUGUAUACGUCUUUAGCAGUAAGUGUAAUAUAGUAAGACUACUUUUUCUCUUAUUAAAUUUAGUUUCAUUGGUUUUCAGCUUAGAAUUCCAUACAGCCAAAGUAUCUUCAAACCUGCUUUUGUCAUUUCUACGAAGUCCUUCCUGGCUGUUCUAACCAAAACGGCAACAUACGGCAGUUCUAAAAGGCUGCACAACCAUAGGGUCUAAAUUACUUUGUUUCUUGUUUUAGUUCACAAAAUAAGUAUCUUACCCUGUACAGAGUUGGGAGUAGAGUCCAGCAUUUUCAAAAGGGCUGGUACCCCUCAAAAUGAUUUUGAGGGCCACAUGGUGUGUCCACACCUCCUGAUGGUCUGUUUGAAUCUAUUACACCUAAAAGCUAACUUCUUCCUGCCCAAGUGCUUACAGAGUCUUCUAUUAAAACUGUAUGUUGCUUAUGCCAAAGACAGUACAAAGUACCCUAAGUCUGAAAUUCAGCAGGAAUUAUCUGCACAAAAAUUUAAACUAGUUCAGUCAUUAAUAAUUUCAUCCAUUAAUGAUAGACUCUAAUAUGGACAAAUGUGACUGAUGUACUUUUUAUCCCUUGUCUCGAUUUUACAAUCCAAAUGAGGGGAUGCUUUUACCUAGAGCUGCAAAGCAACUGGAGGAUCUACUCCUGUGACUUGGAAAUUCCCCGAGGAAAAACUGGCUGAUUGUUUAAUGAACUGCUUUUUGACAGAACUGGCAAGGAGGGUAAUUCAGAAUGGCGAGGUUUGCUCAAUGAAAAAGCCACACUUGGAGGUUGAUGGGGCACGUGUCAAGAUCCGGGCACAGAGAAGAACCAGAGCUGAAGGGAGGAGAGGCUGGCCUAAAGGAGAAGUCCUGCAGCCAGGCCUGGAACCCGCGUGAGCACCCUUACUGCCGUAUCAUACCCUACACCCUCCUGCCCCACUGGGGCUAAGGGAAAAAUGUGCAUGUAUCUGUAAAGAACUCCCAGGUGCUGUUCUUGAACACGAACAGGCACACUCCUAGUUCAGUGGGCUGGUUACGAGGCAAGUCAUGUGCCAGGAACUCGAUCUGCACCCACCCUACACCAGAGCCUCCUCUACAGUACCGCAUCUUAAAUCCUGACUCUGCCACUAACUGUAACUCCAUGGAUCACUCCUCUGUGUUUAUCCUCAUCUGUAAAAUGGGGAUGGAUAGCAGAAAGGCAUCUGGAACAGACCUGGGAUGAACAAGUAUUUGUAAUGCUAAUGUAACGCUAACACAGAAUGCUAAACAAGUAUUUGUAAAGUUAAUUUCCCCUAAAUUACACUUGGCUCUCUAUCAAGCACCUUGGUGUCUGUUCUUUCAAACAUCUGGGCUUUCUAAUUGAUUAAAAUCAAGCAAGAUGAUUGUGACUACACUUUCUCAUGUCACUAGUUCACAAAGAAUCUUAAGAGCGGUCUCACAAUUUUCCAGUCUAUGGAUUUAGUUAUAAUCAAAUUCAAUUUCGAUUUAAUGAGCGUCUCAACUUUUAGAAAGGUGAGCAGUAAGGUAGAGCAGCCUCAACCAUCUGUUUUUAUGCUUAUUUUAUGAUAUGAUAUACAAAGCUCCUGAGAGCUAGGAUUAAGCUCAUAAUUGGCACGAUGACUUUUUUUAGCGAGGGCUGUAGUCCCGGUAUUAUUUGACAUGUAUGAAAACAAGCCCUUCCAGUUCCAAGGAAAAGGCCAAUGUGAAAAGCUCAGUAGUAUUCCAAAUUUCCAGUCACGUACCUGACAGUCAUCCACGUCUACUUCAAGGAACACCACGUUGGAAUACUUCUCAGAGAGGGACUGGAAAAUUUAAAAAAAUCCAGAAAGAUUCAGAACUGGGUAAUGGCAGUCACUAUACUCAAGCUUCUUAAACAGAAACCAUGAUAAAAGUAGAAACUACUAAUUAAAGAUCUAAAGAUUCAGACUAGAGACCAGGUAAGCACCAAGGACAUACAGUUUCUCUGAAUCAGAUUCCUCCUAGUAUAAAAGAAUUUGACACGUCAAGCUCUGAGGCCUGAAUUUCAAACAGGGCCUGGGUUUCAACUCCAAGAAAAGCAAAAACCAUUUAAGACAGUUCUGACAGUUGUCUUCACUGGGCUACACAUGUGUCAAAAGCAAUUACUGAAGUUGUUACACUACUGCUUCUACACCAAAGGUUCAACAACAACAACAAACACUGUCCUUUCCUGGCUUUGUGACCACCCACUCGAAACAGAAUCUCUUACAAAACAGAACUGAUUUCAUACUCACAUGAAAGAAGGGCUUGAUCAUUUUGCAAGGUCCACACCACGUGGCAGAGAAAUCAACUACUACAAGUUUUUCCCCUGCACUGUUCAAGGCUUCCUGAAAAGCAUACUAAGGAGAAAAAAAGAAACGCAUAGGUUAAACAGCUUCCUCUAUUUCCCAAAGCCCUGAUCAAACUUGAUAGAAUGUGAUACAAAGAACAAUUCAAAGGUACUGCUUUUUAAAAAUCUAAGAAGCUAAAAUGAACCAAACAAACUGAAAAAAAUCCUACAGAGUUGAUAAGACGAAACAAGUAUGAUGUAUAUAGUUUAUCUAUAUUCAACUGAGCAAAUUAAAAUAAAGACAUUUGUAUUACAUUUCCACAUCAAAUCUAGGUCAAUGGUAAACAUUCACUAAAUGGGUAUCAACUCAUAGAGGGUCAUUUCAAUUGAAUAAGUCACAAAGGCACAGAAUUUUGCAAUGUUAAAAGCUAAUACUUUAUUGGGGCCCCUGGGUGCUUCAGUCAGUUAAGUGUCUGACUUUUGAUCUCAGCUCAGGUCAUGAUUUCACAGUUAUUGGGCUCUGUGCUGACAGCACAGAGCCUGCUUGGGAUUCUCUCUCACUCUCUUCCUGCCCUUUCCCCACUUGUGCUCUCUCAGAUAAAUCAACUUAAAAGCUAUUACUUUAUUAAUUAAAAUGGUCUAUAGUGGAACAUGUCAAAAGCUUUAAAAAAAAAAUCAAGGAAAAAAUAUCAAGGAAAAUAAACCUCCUCCAAACGUUUACACUCAGGCAGUCACUGUUGACAUUAGGCAUAUUUCCUUAUACUCCCUUUAGUGGAGUUUCCAGAGAUGAGAUCAUACUGCUUAUGGUUGAUGUCUGCCCUUUAUCUCAAAACUCUGCUCUUACUGGUGACCAAAUAAUAGUUUUAGUUCUUCAUGCAAAGAAGUUUCCUUAAAUGUUUUUUUGCAUUAGAAAUGUCAAAUAAAAUUCCAGCAGUGAGACAUGAUCAAGAAAUCCCUUACCACCCAUCUCCCUGAGUCAUUUACCAAUGGUUUUGAUAUUGUAACCCUAGGAACCUAACCUUGGAGUUAACAAGGGGCUGCUUUUUAAUCAAAUUUAAUCAGUGCUUACCGAAACUGGGGCAACAAAGAGAAACCAAAACAUAAACAUCUGUAUCUGAAGUCUAGGUUUUCUUCAAGGGAAAAAUGCUGGUCACAUUGGUUUAAUGAAAAACUAACGUUCCCCUCCCUUGAAAGCUAAGAAUCAUAUCAGAUCUGAUCCACUAAAGGAAAGUAAAUACCAUUUAAAAAAAAAAAAUUUAAAGUGAAUUCCUCUGCAGGACAGUUACUUUUCUAUAUUUCUAAUUUCCAACUCCUGUUUUUUGGUGAAGCAAUUCACAAGUGGCAUUCCCAUGUCAUGACUUCUAUAACCUUUUCAGUUAUUCAGGUACAAACUCUCACCCCACCUUCAGGGUGUGGGGAGAUAUUAGGUGUGUGUGAGGGAAUGGGGAGAGAGAACAAGUUAGAAUUAUAGAAAUCAUUUUUCCAAACCAUCACCAUGUUUUCCGGAUGAAUUUAAUGCAAAGCCUUCACUAACAUGAUUUUUUAAAAGGUCAAACUAGCCAUUCUACUGCAAGAACCAGGUUAGACAGGAAAAAAGUCAAUGAAUGAUAACGUCCAAUCAGAUGAAUGCACGGUUUUGUGAACAUGGUUGGCUCCCAGUAAAUACUUGAGAUUACUUUCAACACAAAAUAUUAUUCAAACACUCUCAAAGGUUCCCUCAAACCUUUUGAUUUGCUGAAUCAAAUUCUAGCAAAACUACGUAAAAUUCUGAAGAAAAAAAAAAAAAAGCCAUG
Acinonyx jubatus (cheetah) is the source of this 9373-nucleotide long non-coding RNA. RefSeq lists it as uncharacterized. The record is from RefSeq and is a predicted model, not a curated record. The transcript has 2 exons. Lineage: Eukaryota; Metazoa; Chordata; Mammalia; Carnivora; Felidae.